UUUUGAUUGUAUUUCAUAGAACCAGCAGACGAGACACUUCCUCCCACUGAGAGAAAUGAAAUGCCACCACCACCCAAGAGAUUCAAGCCCCUACCAUCAGAUGAUAAUGUAGCAUCAGGGGUCACCUCUUCCUCCAAAGGUAAAUCUACUCGAACGAAGAAAACACCCUGGCAACAAACAGAGGUGCAAGCAGUGGAAAGACACAUGAAACGAUUCAUUACCUCUUUUACUGUACCGACAAAGAGUGACUGCGAGAAAUGUUUACAUGCUGAACCAGAAGCGCUUCAGAAAAGAGACUGGAAGAACCUGAAAUUUUACAUCUAUAACCGCAUUACAGCCUACAAAAAGUCAGUGCAACAUAAAUAAUGUAGUGAUUAGAGUUUCCUGCUGAGCAGUUUUUGUUUACAGUUAUGUCUCAGUCAAAUACACUAGUCUACUGAACAUGCUGAACAUGUUUCUUGUCUUUUUCAGACAUACUUGAACAUUGUACACCGCACUUUAUUUUCUCCUAAGUGACAAUUAUGGCCAAAAUGGCCAGUUUUUUUUUUGUGAAAGUUGUAUUUAUGUUUAUGUGAGGAAUUCAUUUUGUAAACCUCAGACAAAAGUGAGUUUGAUUUUUUUGAGGUCCAUUUCAUUUAUUUUUUUGAGUUUUUGAAGUUGAACACAAAGUUCAAUUCUGCAUUGCAUUCCUGAAAUGUGGGUUUAAUGUCUUCAGAUUCAUCACUCAAUAGUGGUGUAUUUUAGUGGUAAUAUUAGGUGCCAGCUGAUUGAGUAGUAUUUAGCUGAAGCUGGGUGGUAAACUGGUUAAAAAUAUUAACUAUAUUUGGCUUUGUGAAAGUUAAAGAAGGAAUAUUUCUUAAGAACAGGGACUUGAACAACCAAAAAUGUUACAUCUGUAACCGCAUUACAGCCUACAAAAAAUCAAUGCAACAUAAAUAAUUUAGUGAUUAGAUUUUCCUGUUGGACAGUUUUUGUUUACAGUCAUGUCUCAGCAAAAUACACUAGUCUAGUGAACAUGUUGAACAUGUUUCUUGUCUUUUUCAGACAUACUUGAACAUUGUACACCGCACUUUAUUUUCUCCUAAGUGACAAUUAUGGCCAAAAUGACCAGACUUUUUUUGUGAAAGUCGUAUUUAUGUUUCAUGUGAGGAAUUCCUUUGGAAACCUCAGGUAAAAACGAGUUUGAUUGUUUUGAAGUUCAUUCAACUCAUUUUUUGAGUUCGUGAAAUUGAACACAAUAAAGUUUAAUUCUGCAUUGCA
This is a long non-coding RNA of Amphiprion ocellaris (clown anemonefish), 1260 nucleotides long. RefSeq lists it as uncharacterized. The transcript is spliced from 2 exons. Lineage: Eukaryota; Metazoa; Chordata; Actinopteri; Pomacentridae. The record is from RefSeq and is a predicted model, not a curated record.